RNAcentral lists this ribosomal RNA (142 nucleotides) under Salmonella enterica. RNAcentral describes it as "partial 23S ribosomal RNA". It matches the Rfam family "Bacterial large subunit ribosomal RNA", at positions 2801 to 2925 of the family's 2925-position model. Lineage: Bacteria; Pseudomonadati; Pseudomonadota; Gammaproteobacteria; Enterobacterales; Enterobacteriaceae. The record is from RNAcentral. RNAcentral also lists the same sequence under 3 other names.
GAGAUGAGUUCUCCCUGAGACUUAAAGUCUCCUGAAGGAACGUUGAAGACGACGACGUUGAUAGGCCGGGUGUGUAAGCGCAGCGAUGCGUUGAGCUAACCGGUACUAAUGAACCGUGAGGCUUAACCUUACAACGCCGAAG